This 669-nucleotide ribosomal RNA is filed under the name Triticum aestivum (bread wheat). Its description in RNAcentral is "partial small subunit ribosomal RNA". Lineage: Eukaryota; Viridiplantae; Streptophyta; Magnoliopsida; Poales; Poaceae. The record is from RNAcentral.
AUGGCAUCGGCUCGCUCCGCGAUGCUCCAGGCGCUGCUGCUCGCGGUGGCCCUCGCCGCGGCGCCGGGCGUCCUCUCGGACCCGCCGCCGCUCCAGGACUUCUGCGUAGCCGACCUCAAGGCCGCCACGGCGGUGGACGGGUUCCCCUGCAAGGCGCCGUCGACGGUGGUGGACGACGACUUCUUCUCCGACGCCAUGGUCGCCGCGCCCAGAACCGACACCAACCCCUUCGGCGUCAACUCCACGCGCGCCACCGUGUCGGUCUUCCCGGGCCUCAACACGCUGGGCCUCUCCAUCACGCGCACCGACCUCGCCGUGGGCGGCCUCAAUCCGCCGCACUCGCACCCUCGCGGCUCGGAGCUCGUGCUGGUGCUCAAGGGCGAGGUCAUGGUCGGGUUCACCUCGGCGACCAACCGGCUCUUCACCAAGGUGGUGAAGGAGAACGAGCUCUACGUCGUGCCCCGCGGCCUGCAGCACUACCAGCUCAACGUUGGUACCGGGGACGCCGUGUUCAUGGCCAUGUUCGACGCCCAGUCGCCGGGCCUGGUCACGCCGACGCUCGCGCUCUUCGCGACCGAGCCGGCCAUGCCGAUGGAGGUGCUCACCAAGACCUUCCUCAUGGGCGAAGAUGAUGUCACCGCCAUGAAAUCCAAAUUCGCCGGCUUCUGA